This is a long non-coding RNA of Hyalella azteca, 839 nucleotides long. RefSeq lists it as uncharacterized. The record is from RefSeq and is a predicted model, not a curated record. The transcript has 2 exons. Lineage: Eukaryota; Metazoa; Arthropoda; Malacostraca; Amphipoda; Hyalellidae.
UGGUUCAUUUUAUGUUCAUAAAUAUUCAAUUUUUGUUUCUUUUCAUUAGCCGAAUAAUCUGCAUAGUCUCCCUGUCUCUUCUCCUAUCGGCACGCCUGCUCUCAUGAAUUUCUGCUUCUGUCGACGUCUCCGCUGAUGCUGCCGAUGGUACUAAGCGCAUUGCUCAGGCAGCUUAUGAUGAAGAAUACGAGACCCAGCAACCUUUGAUUGAAUCACCAACACCAGAGGCACCGCAAAGUCCCGUAGAGCAGGUGACUCUGCCUUUAAGGUCCCGUAGUUCAGAUAAACCAUUCGAAGGUGAGCAGCAGACUGCAGGAGAAGUGGAUGUUGAGGCUGAAGAAGAGCAGGUUGUUCGUGAGGAGGAGAAAGUGGUAGAGCUGCGAGGAGACGACACUGAAAAGGUGGUAGAAGAAGAGGUGGGGGUUGUUGUGCAGGGAGUUGACAAAGAAGUGGCUACUGGUGAACAAGAAGCUGUACCUGGAGAGGAUGAGGAAUAUGAAUACGAAGAGAUCGAAGUUGAGGAAGAGGUUCCUGAAGAAGCCAGUCCCCAGGGGGCUGUUAUCACCGGAGAAGAAGAAGAUUUUUGGGCAAACGAUGAAAAUUCUGCAGGUAAUGCCGGAGCUUCAGAAGUGGUUGAAGUUGAGGAGAUUCAAGAGUAAUAAUUGAGGGGUGGACAUUUUGAAGAAAUCAAUCAUUACAGAGACUAUGAACUAGGCAAAUGAGAUGUUGUCUUCAGAGAAGAAUUAUUAUAUCAGUGAAAAUGCCGUUGAACUCAGUCAUUCAAAUUUAUCACAAGAAGCUUGUGCGGUAACAAAACUUGUAAGGCACAACACAAAAUA